This 27-nucleotide non-coding RNA is filed under the name Cricetulus griseus (Chinese hamster). The record is from RNAcentral. Lineage: Eukaryota; Metazoa; Chordata; Mammalia; Rodentia; Cricetidae.
UGGGGAGUAAACUAGGCCGGAUAAGGU